RNAcentral lists this long non-coding RNA (789 nucleotides) under Microcebus murinus (gray mouse lemur). RNAcentral's name for it is "lncRNA (ENSMICG00000048244.1)". The record is from RNAcentral. Lineage: Eukaryota; Metazoa; Chordata; Mammalia; Primates; Cheirogaleidae.
AAGCAGAAUGGAUCAUGGGCAGCUGAGCUGCAACAAACCAGCAGGACUUUCUGUGAAAUCAUUGACCACCAUAUACUCCUUAAGUCUCCAGAGUUAACUCCUAAUUCUCAGCACCUGAGAGCCAAAGUGAACCAUCAGGAGCCACAGGUACUCACUGUCUUAGCCCUGCUGAACUGUCUGACAAAGACAGACUGGCAUGUUCUUCAGUUACAUGCUGCAGACAGGCCUUCUCUACUUUGGGGGAAAGUGAACACUGCCAGUACCAAAUUCAUAUUUGCCUACUUAGCAUCCUAGGAGGAAGCUGAAGAAAACGUCUUUCCAACAGGACCUAGAAAUCAAUCCCAGUAAAAGACUGUGGCUCCUGUCAUGUGAUCACAGAUGGACCAUUUGCUGGGUCUGAAAAGCCUAAGUCAUGUGAACAUCCCUGUUGUAACAACAAAAGAAAGUACUAAUAUCAGAAAAAAAAGAUGGAAGAACUUUCCAGACAAAUAAAAACUAAAAUAUUUGCCUUUUCCUAGGAUUCUUAUUUUUCUUAUCAAUUGCAUUAUUGAAUAACCUAACACUUAGGUUUAGUCCUUUUCCCACCUCAGCUUAAGUGGCUGGGCAUGAUAUUCCAAUUUUAUCCUGGAAGCAAAAUCAAUGAUCAGAAGACUAUAUCUAGAAUGUCAUUAAAAAUUAUUAGACUGAAAAUUACAAUACCUUUAUAAAAACAAUAGUAAAGUAACUACCUUACAGUGUCAAUUUGAGAACUAAAUUAGGUGAUAUAUAUAGAUUCUUUAGAAUAGUUCC